This is a long non-coding RNA of Triticum aestivum (bread wheat), 3612 nucleotides long. RefSeq lists it as uncharacterized. The transcript is spliced from 4 exons. Lineage: Eukaryota; Viridiplantae; Streptophyta; Magnoliopsida; Poales; Poaceae. The record is from RefSeq and is a predicted model, not a curated record.
UGCGUGCGUGUGUGCUGGGAUAUGUGUACGCGCAGGUAUAAAAACCCCAGACUUGAUGUAGCCAAACGGUGGAGUUGCCGUGAUGUAGCCAUUGAAAAGAGGGAAAAGAUUUGGGCGUUCAUGCGCCCGUGGCGGCGUUCGUGCGCCGGCCGGAAAAAUCCUCGUGUCCAGUGUUCUUCUUCUUCCACCUCCGUUCGAGUGAGAGGAGAGGUAGCUAGAGGGCUAUGGUUCCAACAAUUGGUAUCAUGAGCUGGUUCAUCUUGGCUGUCGUCCCCUUGCCGGAGGCGUGCCGGCGGUGGCGGCGUUCGCCGGCGGCUGUGCGGUGAAGCUUCGGGCCGUGUGUCGGUCUAUGGAGGUGCGCGGCGUGGCGAGGAGGCCGCAGUGGCUGCGGCGGCACGGUGAGGAGGCCACGGAGGACCUGCGUGGUGGCGGCUUCAAUGACAAACAGCGGCAUGGCGGCAUGGAGAUGCUGCGCUGCGGUUGAGGCCGCAGCGGUGCAGGGCAAUAAGCCAUGGCGGUGAGCCGGGCGCGAUCGUUGCGUGUUAUGGGUGCGCACUGGACGCGUCGGGCGCGCCGGGACCGCGGGCGCAUGUAUGAGCGUGCGGUUGACGUUGGGAGGAGGCGUAUGUCGCCGUUGUGCUCGAGUCCGUGCUCGAGUUCGGCUACAUCCUUCCGGCGUUUGUCGCUGGCGGUUGCCAUGGCGGACGCGGAGGCGGCGCGCGGUGAGCGUCUCGUGCGGUCGGGCUCGUCGGGUGCGCGCGAGACGUGCGGGAUGCACUGGUGCGGUCGGGCUCGUCGGGCGCGUCGGGUGCGCGCGGGACAUGCGGGGGGCAGAGGGACGCUAGGCGUGUGUCGCUUGCGGAGAAGGAGCUCGGCGUAUGUCGCCGGGGUCGUGACAGAGCACGGUGCGACCGGCGUCAGUGCGCCAGGUCGGGUCCGUGGCGGUGCGACCGACGUCGAUGCGUCGGGUCGGGUCCGCGGGCUGGGUCACGGCCGUGACGAUGACAAUGACAGGAGCUGCAACAACUCCGAUGACGGCGAGCAGGCGACACGUCACAUUGUCGGACGGAGACGGUCAAGGCGACGGUCGACGACUAGCCAUGUCAAGAUUAGAGGGAGAAUUGUUAGGCAUAAUCUUUGACAUGAGAGUGGAGCGGCCGGCCGGGUCAUACGUGGAGUUAGUUAGAUGCAUGCAUGCUAUCUACCAGGUCGUGUGGCCGGCCGUUGAGGAACUGAUGCGCGCAUGGAUAUGGACGCCGUGCAUGUAGCUAGCUUAAUGGUAUAGUUAGUACUUGCGUGUGAAUGGGUUAGUGGCCGUGAGUUCAGGCCGGUGAUGUGUGCGUGCGUGUGUGCUGGGAUAUGUGUACGCGCAGGUAUAAAAACCCCAGACUUGAUGUAGCCAAAGGGUGGAGUUGCUGUGAUGUAGCCAUUGAAAAGAGGGAAAAGAUUUGGGCGUUCGUGCGCCGACCGGAAAAAUCCUCGUGUCCAGUGUGUCUCCUUUCUCCUACCUCUGUCCGUGAGUGAGCUGAGAGAAAGAGAGCAGCCAGGCUCGGCCACAACACAGGCCUCAUCGCCGUCGAGCUCGCGGUCCGCCGUGGACAGCGGCGACCACUGGACGGCCUCCUUGAAAAGCAUGUCGCGCUCGAGCCGGACAAAUGGCGACGCCUCGAGGCGGGUGGCCACGAGGCGGGUGGCCACCGGAUGUGUGCCUGGGCAUGAGUGCUCUAUCUGCGCUGUGUGCUCUAGCACCUGGCCGUGCGCGAUGUGUGCUAGGCGUGCGUGUGCCUGGGCGUGCUUGUGUGUGUUAGUUACUGCUGUACGUACAUUUUGUGCGUGCAUGCUCUUGCACCUGGGCUUGAGUGCGUGAUCUGUGCGUGUGUUGUGUGCGUGCGUGCUCUAGCACCUGGGCGCCCGACUGUUGCUGCUGCUACUGUUGCAUACACGGAGAAAACCGCCGUAGUACGAGCUCGCCCACUGUCUGGCGCGCCCUCGCCGAGCUCACCACCGUCCCCGGGCUCGGACCGUCGACGGUACCCUCCGCGCACCACAUCCGGCACACGCACAGGAGCAGCAGCAUCUCGGCGACGCUACCGGAGCGUGGGGAGAGGAGGAGCACAAGCAGCACAACACAGGGCGGCAGAUGGAUGAGGUAUUCGAGCAGUCGGUUGCGGGACGAACAGAGAAGAAGACGUAAGCAUCUAAUUUGGAUUGGUUUUGGCAAGAGUGGCAUUUUGGUCAUUCAAACUAUAGUGUAAUCUCAAAUCGGUUAGAAAGGGCAAAUCCUCAAGUUUUUGACAAAGUUGUGGUAAAUCAUCAACAUCAAUAAAAAAGAGGGCAAAUCCUCAAAGUGCAGGGAAAGGUAUGGCAAAUCCUCAAGUUCCCCCUAAAAAAAACCUUUUCUCGAAGUUAAAGCACUGGUGCCUCUUCGUCUCUAUCAUCUCCGUCAAUCCUCUUCUCAAAACAAAAAAAAACUCCGUCAAUCCUAGCCUGCUCAUGACCACAUCCACAUACACCAGUGCCUUAAAUAAGGAUCCGCCGAAGGAAGAUUUCACUGCUGGCUUAUGCGAAACUAAUUCCCGACCUAUCCAGGCGCUACUUCUUGUCUCUUAUCUUCAAUUUUUUUUGUUUUGGCGCUGUCCUCAAACCCUAGCUCUGCUGAUCUUAGGUUGGGCACAAAGCUGCGACGAACCCGUGUGUGUAGGUCUCAGCUCGUUGGCGCGAGUUCUCGCCUUCCUCAUUUCUGGUGCGGUCGGCCCUCCGCCAAUAAUGAAGCAGAGGUGCCAAAGCAGAUUUUGAAGAAAUAGUAAGACAGGAUAUGUGUCUGCUGGCUGAGCCCAGUUGUGGGCCUCCUCGUUGUUCAUGAUGUCGGGUUUCCACCUACGUAAUUUGCUACAGCUUCACAUCAUUCCUACUUCCUCCAUAGCAGGUGAUUCUUCACAUGUAUUAACAUCAUUUUUGUCGUAAAAAAGUGGCGAUUUCAUAUCUUAUAAGAAGUCUCAUGCAUUACCUCACUUGCCUAGUUUUUGCGCCUCAUUUCAAAUAACAAUUACAAACCUUGAUGCUCCAAAUGAGAGGCCACUCGAAAGAUAGAUUUGAUCUAGAAUAGAAGUUAUGAAACCUUGAUGAUCUACAUGAGAGGCCACUCGAAAGAUAGAUUUGAUCUGGCAUAGAAGUUAUGAACCUUGAUGAUUCAGGUGAGAGGCCACUCAGUAGGUUGCUUGGUGUGACUUCGUCCGACGGCGCGACGUUGCGUAGUUCAAUCAGAAGACUUUGAUGUUGUUGGUAGUGUGCUGGUUAGGUAGCAGAUUUGGCUUACUUUGAUUUUUAGGUGUGUGCUGCGAGCGGUCGGCCGUAUGUCUUCUUAUGUGUUAUGGUUGACUUGGCAAGUAUUACGUGUUGAGCAAUUUUGGUUGAGUCCGUGUGGAGUUCUGUAUGUAGUCCAUGUAUGUGUCUUAUUUGUAUCUGCGUGUUCACGUUUGACUCUUUGUUUUUGACGUUGUGUCCACGUUUGGAAUUGGAUGCACGUGAGCUUCCGUAUCUUCAACGGUUUAUCCCUAAAUACUGUACGUGGUCAUGAUUGUUGCUAACAAAGCCUUGUUUUUUUCUUCUGAA